CCUACGGGCGGCAGCAGUGAGGAAUAUUGGUCAAUGGGAGAGAUCCUGAACCAGCCAAGCCGCGUGAGGGAAGACGGCCCUAUGGGUUGUAAACCUCUUUUGUCGGAGAACAAAACCCGGGGCGUGUCCCGGACUGCGUGUAUCCGAAGAAAAAGCAUCGGCUAACUCCGUGCCCGCAGCCGCGGUAAUACGGAGGAUGCGAGCGUUAUCCGGAUUUGUUGGGUUUAAAGGGUGCGUAGGCGGUCCGUUAAGUCAGCGGUAAGAUUGCGGGGCUCAACCCCGUCGAGCCGUUGAAACUGGCAGACUUGAGUUGGCGAGAAGUACGCGGAAUGCGCGGUGUAGCGGUGAAAUGCAUAGAGAUCGCGCAGAACUCCGAUUGCGAAGGCAGCGUACCGGCGCCAGACUGACGCUGAGGCACGAAAGCGUGGGGAUCGAACAGGAUUAGAUACCCGGGUAGUC
Molecule: ribosomal RNA, 459 nt
Filed under: uncultured bacterium
Lineage: Bacteria
Description: partial 16S ribosomal RNA
Rfam family: Bacterial small subunit ribosomal RNA
Source: RNAcentral